This 1499-nucleotide ribosomal RNA is filed under the name Pseudanthobothrium hanseni. Its description in RNAcentral is "partial large subunit ribosomal RNA". It matches the Rfam family "Eukaryotic large subunit ribosomal RNA", at positions 69 to 982 of the family's 3401-position model. The record is from RNAcentral. Lineage: Eukaryota; Metazoa; Platyhelminthes; Cestoda; Rhinebothriidea; Echeneibothriidae.
CCAGGAUUCCCCUAGUAACGGCGAGUGAAGAGGGAGAAGCCCAGCACCGAAGCCUGCGGCAGUUUUGCUGUUAGGCAAUGUGGUGUUUGGGUCGGUUCGUGGGAUUGCCACUCCACUCGAAGUCCAGCAUUGAGUAUGGUCUACUGGAUUUGGCCCAGAGAGGGUGAAAGGCCCGUACGGGUGGAGGUAUCAGACAUGUGAGGCAAUUCACCAGACCGGCCUUAGAGUCGGGUUGUUUGAGAAUGCAGCCCAAAGCGGGUGGUAAACUCCAUCCAAGGCUAAAUACUAGCACGAGUCCGAUAGCAAACAAGUACCGUGAGGGAAAGUUGAAAAGUACUUUGAAGAGAGAGUAAACAGUACGUGAAACCGCAUGCAGGUAAACGGGUGGCGUCAAGCUGCAAGCCCAGAGGAUUCAGCCGGCUAGAAUGUAGUGUAUGCGCCUGCGCAUCGAACGGCCAGUGUAGGAUUGGGUAGUCUACUGGAAGACAGUAGGCCCUGCCGCAAGGUGGGGAUAUGUGUACCGGGCGGAGGCCGGAACAUGCUAUCCGUCUAUUGGGCUGUCUAGCCGGUGCACUUUCUCUGUGGUGAACACCACGACCGGUGGAACUGCCAGUCUGUCAUAGUCAAGUCGUAGUGGGCGGGCUUUCGGGUCUGCCUGCUGUGAUCACGGGCGUACUUGGUAUACGGCGUUAGUGCAUCUUUACGGUGUGCCGACGUGUUAUCGGCUACUAGUCGCUUUAUCGGGCCUGCCUAAUGCAUGUUAUAGCCGUGUGUUUGGUGGUCUGGUGGACUUUGAUGGUAAUAAUAACUGUGCAGGGCACCGGAGUUUUCGGCCUCAAAUGCAGUCUGCAUGCGUGCUAUGAGUGUAAUGUGUUUGUGGGUGUCGUCGCGAGCUGGCUGUUGUUGGAUUUGAUUGUCGUGUUGCCUACGAAAAGUGGGCCCGGCAGUGGUUCGAUGCAGAUUGGUCUCGUUGGCGGUGCCUGCGAUGUAGACUGUGGUGGGCCAGAUAGUCUGUGGUGUAGUGGUAGACGAGCUACCCGACCCGUCUUGAAACACGGACCAAGGAGUUUAACAUGUGUGCAAGUCGUAGGGUCCUACGAAACCCGAAGGCGCAGUGAAAGUAAAGCUUUGGCUUCCUUUCGGGGAUGUCUGAAGUGAGGUGAGAUCUUGUCGUUACUCGCAUCAGCUUGCCAGUGGUAGGCAUCAAGAGCGGCAGGCGCAUCACCGGCCCGUCCCAUAAUGUGGUCAUUGGAAGAGGCCAUGGCUGGGGCAACCUGGCUGUGGUACUCACAGUGCGUCAUUGGGGCGGAGCAUGAGCACACAUGUUGAGACCCGAAAGAUGGUGAACUAUGCUUGCGUAGGUUGAAGCCAGAGGAAACUCUGGUGGAGGACCGCAGCGAUUCUGACGUGCAAAUCGAUCGUCAAACGUGAGUAUAGGGGCGAAAGACUAAUCGAACCAUCUAGUAGCUGGUUCCCUCCGAAGUUUCCCUCAGGAUAGC